GCUGACACGUCCUGGCCAAUCUCCAGCAGACCCUCCCUCCCAGACCCUCCUACUUCCUGGACAGCAUCCAUGUUGAAUGCAUGGAUGUUGAAUGCAUGGAUGCUGUCCAGGAAUUAGGAGGGUCUGGGAGGGAGGGUCUGCUGGUGAUUGGCCGGGACGUGUCAG
This 165-nucleotide microRNA precursor is filed under the name Pelobates cultripes (western spadefoot toad). Lineage: Eukaryota; Metazoa; Chordata; Amphibia; Anura; Pelobatidae. The record is from RNAcentral.